CCCGAUGAACUGAAUAUCCAUUAUGGAAAAUUCAUCAUUAGAAUUGUGAUAUUUAAACGAUAUUAUAAUAAUAGUGUGCAUUUUUUCCAUAUAAGGACAUUGUAAUCUAUUAGUUACAAUAAUUUAUCAAAAAUUUUAGAUAAGAGCUUAUUUAAAUUAAAAUGCUUGCGUUUUAACAUAAAAUGAAUGUCAUAAAUUUGAUAAAGUGCUGAUAGAUUUAUAUGAAUACAGUGUGUUAAUUUUUCGGAAUUAUAUAAUGGCAUGAUUAUCAUUGAUUUUUGUGUUUAUUAUAUGCACUUGUAUGAUUAACAAUGCGAAAGAUUCAGGAUACCUUCGGG
This 338-nucleotide ribosomal RNA is filed under the name Drosophila mediopunctata. Its description in RNAcentral is "eukaryotic LSU rRNA". Lineage: Eukaryota; Metazoa; Arthropoda; Insecta; Diptera; Drosophilidae. The record is from RNAcentral.